Molecule: long non-coding RNA, 4749 nt
Organism: Bubalus bubalis (water buffalo)
Lineage: Eukaryota; Metazoa; Chordata; Mammalia; Artiodactyla; Bovidae
Exons: 3
Source: RefSeq, a predicted model, not a curated record
UUUUCUGCAGGCCUCCUGCUUCUCCUCCAAAGGCUCUCUGAAUCCCAUGCCUGUCUCCAGGGGGCUGCCUCCUCCAGGAAGCUUAUGUCAGGACAUGGGUGAGACGAUGGAGGUAGGGAAGUACCCCUUUCCCCUUCACCUCAGAACCUGGAUGGUGACCCCCUACUGAAUGAGCUGGAGGAAUCCUGCGAUACUGGGCCUUCAAGUCUGUCACCACCGGCAGCUCGUUUGGCUGGCAGGGCCUGACAUUACACGCCUGUCUGUACUCUUUGCUCCGGAGUGGACCUAUCGAUUCUUAUCGAGCUGCCAGCUAAACUGAAGAGAAGGGGGCAGACAGGAAAGGAGGCCUGGGAAGAGAAGGGGUCCCAGGAAUAAUUAGGUCAGUGGACGAGGCAGGCACAGGUCAAAUGAGGGACUUGACCCUGGAUCAUCCCAGUCCUGGCAUCCUCUGUUGGGGAGAGGCCCCUACUCAGUGCCCCCGCACCCAGCAGGAGCUGGCUAGGGGAGGUCAGAGUAGGAAAUGGCCAGGGGAGGGUUAGGGUCUGCUGAAGGCCAAGAGGCAAAUGAAAUGCAAAUUUGCAUACAAAUGAAUGACCACUAGGUUUGCCUGGAAGAUUUCUGGGAGCUUAGAAGUCCCAGCCAGUCAAAGGGGUUUCUCCUGCUUUCACCUUCACAUUCUCCCACGAGGUUCCAGAAUUGUCUUGUUGUGCAGAAUUGCACAAUAAGGGGUAGAGAUUACAUAUAUGAUGUAUUGCCUUUGCUGUUUUUGCUUAACUUGAAGUCAGCCAAUUUGGGUACGUUGCCAGCUGUGUGACCUUGGGGAAGUCACUUGACUAGGCACUUCAGUUUCUUCUCUUGUAAAAGGAGAAGAAAGCAAGCGUGACCAGUCUAUCUCCUGGGAUGGCAGUGGAUAUUUAUGUUAAUUAUCACUCACUUAUUUAAUUAUCACUCACUUAGUCACUGAACAAAUGCUGUUUACUUACUAUCGGGUAAAUCUCCAGAAGGGCAGAUGUCUCCAGGAUAUAAGGACUCUUUCUAAGUCACUUAAGACCCCUGGGGGACUUUGAAUUCCAAUGGGGAUCAGGUCCAGAUCUAAGGAUUCUUAUCUAAGCUCUUUCCAGAUCAUUCUCUGACUGCUGCCUGACUCCAACAGCCUGGGACAUUUUGGGGCCUGGGGAGGGAGGCGCUGUCUGGGGGUGGUGGAGGAGCACUGCCAGCUGGGUCUUAUCUCCCGUAGCUGAUGUUAGUGACCACAUUCCUGACCUCUUGCAGCAGUGGGGCAGAUACCGACCUCAGGUUUCCAGCACCAGCCUGCCCUUUUCCACCACAUCUAGAUUGCUCUGUGGUUCAGAGCCUUUUCACUUUUAUCUGAGUGUCUCUGGGAGAGCUGGGGAGGGGGCAUUUUUGAGCACCCUUGUUCCCAGAACUGAGGCUCUGAGUUGGGGGUGGGAGGCCAGGUGGGAAGGGGGAUGGGUGAUUGUGAGGCCAGUCCCGGGUGAAGGGGGAGCAGGAGGGGCCCUGCUGAGAGAGGCCAGAACAAAGACAUUGAAGAGAAGGCUAGCUGAGUAAAGAGACUUGGCUGAGGUGGGGGUCCUGAAGGAGGGGAAAUGGUCCCCACCCCCAUCCUGCCCUGGGACCCGGUGUCCUGCUGAGGGGUCGCUGGGGAGCUGGGAACCUGAGAGACAGGUUUAAUUCCUGAGUAAAUUCUGAGAUGACCCUGAUAAGGAGGGGUCAGCUCUUUCCUCCCCCUCCUGGCACUCUCCCAGGGAGGGCGGGAGCCACAGCCCUGGGAGAACUAGAUAGUGGGGGGGAUUAAGGGAUUGGGGGAUCAUGAGGGCCUGGAGCUCCUUAGGCUUUGCUUUAUCAUUUAGGCUAUAAAUUUUGUACCCAACCCUGAGGAGGAGGUUGUUUAGAAAAGGAACUGAAAUGUGAGGGUGGGGGUCUAUAGCGGGGAGUUAUGGGGUGGGAUGAGGAUUGGGCACGUGUCUGAUUCUCCUCAUCUUCUCCAACAACUGAAGGAUAGAGAAUGACUCCAGACAGGAUUUCCAAAAGUGUGUGUGUUACAGGCAGUGAGAGGUCCUUUCAGGGACAGUAGGGGGCAGUGAGGUGGGUGAGCAGUUGGCCUGGGAGGCUCCCUUCAGCUCCCCUCAGUGGAGGGCCUGGCUUGCAGGCUGCCCACAGGAGGACUGCAAGGGGUCCUGAGUCAGGGGCAAAGCCUGAGAGGAAGAGGACAGGGGAGGGGGCGGGAGUGAAACCCGAGGGAAAAGAGUCUGGGGCUGCGUGAGAAUUCCUGGCAUGUAAGGGAAGCUCCGUAAGUGACUUUGAUUCAAACCAUUAAUGAAAAGGAUGUUCUAGGAGAGGCGGUUGGUGGGGGGGGGAGGGGUGGUCAGGAAAUGUGGUUAGGUAGGCUGUGGAGGCUGGUGGGAUGAUGGGGAUGGCAACUGGGUUGGGAGCAGGAACCCAUGAGAAUCCCUCAUGACUUUUGGGAAUUUCUUUGAAAGUGUCCCUGCCCGCUGUGGAGGCCCUGCCUGUCCAGUGUCAGUAGCAGAGGGCUUCUGAGGGUUCUGUCCAGGCCCUGUCCCUAGGGUUCGGAAGAUCAAAGAAGGUUCUGGUACUUUUAUAUCAUUGCUUCAGUUGGAUUUGUAUCCUGGCUUAUUUUCCAGGGAUAAAGGUCAGCCCUGAGAAGCAUGUAGCGGUCCAGGAAUCUCCAGUGAUAAAGCUCAGAGAAAUCAGGCCCUUCCGGAGUCCCCUCAGCUCCCUGGGGUCCCCUGCGGUCUCCUCUGACAAAGGCAGCUCUCGCCUACCAGGGCAGGGGUGGCCGCUCCUGUUCUUAUAACCUCUUCCCCUUCCCUGCUUCUGACCCUGGUGCUCCUGGUCACUCCAGGUACCUCACUGCCAUCCCCCAGCCCAUCACCUCUUUUCAGUCUGCCAAGAGGUGGGUGGGGCAUAGAAUGAGUGUGGUGUCCAAAGACCUGGGUUCAGGGUUCCACUGCUGGCUGGGUGAGCUUGGGCAAAUUUACCUGCCUUGGUCUCCUCAGUUGUAGAAUAAGGAUAGUAGUUAUAUCUACAACUAGAGUUUUCAUGAGGAUCAAAUGUGACAGUCUGCCUGGAAGAGCUUUGACAGCAGAAUAAGCUAGUCAGUUUCCUUUCUUUUCCGGUUUGCCCGCAUUUAUUCCUUUUCUUCCCAGACCCUUUAUUUCACUCUCACUACCUUCUAGCCUUCUGCUCCCUGCUCAUCACUAUUUCUUUUACUUUCAUCUUGAGCACGGAGCAGGGUGACUAAAACUGAGUCUAUGGAAAAGGGAUGAAAUGGAAAAGUAGAGUGUCUGAGAACCCAUUUCAAACCCGUCCCAUCAACGUCCACAUCUCUAUCAGCCUCUCUCGCUUUGGCUUUGAACCUGGCAGACCUACCAGCAAUGUCUGGGGAAACUGGCAGCUAGACAAGCAGCGCUACAGCUUGAGUGAGGCAUAGGAUAUGGAAUGCAGCUUGUGGGGCCAAGGCUAGCCCUCAGGGCCUUUGCACAAACUGGAGGAAGUCAGCCUCCUUGUCUCUUUGGCCUGGUGCCCUUGUGCAAUGACUGACUUGCACAGGCAGAUGUGGUAGCCCUGUCUGAAGCCACCCCCCUUGGGGAUUUGGGGAAAACCCUGGUGUGGAUGAGCUGGCCUGUGAUAAAAGAUCAGACAAAAAAAGUGGGCAGAGUCUGCACAAAGGGACCCAAGGCAAGAAGAGGAGGAAGAGACAGAGGAAAAAGAGAGGAGAAAGGAGAGGAGAUCCAGACGCCUGUCCGCUCCCAAAAGAGACCAGGGGAGAGGCCUGUCAUGAAAGCCAAAAAGAAGGAAUUUCAAGGAGGGGCAGACACACACAGAGAUCAAGGGGGCUGAGGACAAGCACAGCACUUCCGAUAAAGCGAUGGAGACCAAAGCCAUGUGCUGAAAGGACAAGGUGAAUUAAACCAGCCUGGUAGGGCCUGGAGCAUCACAGGUGCUCCCCUGCCUCCUUCUCCUGGAAGAAUUAUCAGCACAGAGGUUCAAGUCUCUCAGUUUGGUUCAGUUCCACAGUGAGCUGGGGAUAUAGAGAUAAAUAAGAAUUAACAGCAAUAAUCAAGGAGAAGACUAUUAAAGGGGACAGAUAACUGUAUGAUAGGUGCUAUGAAAUGUCCUAAAGUACUAUCAGAAGAUGGAAUAAUUCAUCCAUUCAUUAACAAUUUAUAAGGCAACUGUUUUGUGCCAGCCAUGUUCUAGGCUUUGGGGGUACAGCGAAGAAAAGUCAGAUAAGGUUGUUGCUCUUACAGAGGUCACAUUUUAUGUGUUGAAGGAUUGGGAUCAUGGAGAACCUCAUGUAGGAGGGAAUGCGCCGAACUUCAAAAAAUGAGCAGGAACUUGCUAGAGAAACGAGGGGGUCAGGAGAAUUCUUUCCAGGUAAAACAUCCGGCACUGAGACCGGUUACAGUAUCCAACAGAGUCCCCUCCUCUGAGUUUCAGAUCUGUAUCUCCUGAACAUCACUGGGUAUUGUAGCUGAUUGAUUUCCAAUAAAUCUUUUUUCAUGUUUUUACCUUUUUAUUUUUGGCCUCACCUGGAAGCUUGUAGGAUCUUUGAAGCCAUGCCCUCGACAGUGAAAGCAUGACAUCCUAAACACUGGAAUUCCGAAAGAAAUCUUAAAGCUAUUAGAUGUAAGGCAUCUGUUUUUUUUUUUUUUCCCCUCUUUCUUUUUUUAAAAAAAUUCAGGAAUAAAACCACCAUAUGACCCA